GACGAACGCUGGCGGCGUGCUUAACACAUGCAAGUCGAACGGAAAGGCCCUGCUUUUGUGGGGUGCUCGAGUGGCGAACGGGUGAGUAACACGUGAGUAACCUGCCCUUGACUUUGGGAUAACUUCAGGAAACUGGGGCUAAUACCGGAUAGGAGCUCCUGCUGCAUGGUGGGGGUUGGAAAGUUUCGGCGGUUGGGGAUGGACUCGCGGCUUAUCAGCUUGUUGGUGGGGUAGUGGCUUACCAAGGCUUUGACGGGUACCCGGCCUGAGAGGGUGACCGGCCACAUUGGGACUGAGAUACGGCCCAGACUCCUACGGGAGGCAGCAGUGGGGAAUAUUGCACAAUGGGCGGAAGCCUGAUGCAGCAACGCCGCGUGCGGGAUGACGGCCUUCGGGUUGUAAACCGCUUUCGCCUGUGACGAAGCGUGAGUGACGGUAAUGGGUAAAGAAGCACCGGCUAACUACGG
Molecule: ribosomal RNA, 467 nt
Filed under: uncultured bacterium
Lineage: Bacteria
Description: partial 16S ribosomal RNA
Rfam family: Bacterial small subunit ribosomal RNA
Source: RNAcentral